Molecule: ribosomal RNA, 377 nt
Filed under: uncultured eukaryote
Lineage: Eukaryota
Description: partial 18S ribosomal RNA
Rfam family: Eukaryotic small subunit ribosomal RNA
Source: RNAcentral
CAAUAGCGUAUAUUUAAGUUGUUGCAGUUAAAAAGCUCGUAGUUGGAUUUCGGGUGGGACGCAGCGGUCUCGCAUUGCGUUUGUACUGCUGCAGCCCUCCUUCUUGCCGGGGGCGGCCUGUCGGACUUCACUGUCUGCGGGUCAGAAUCGGCGAUGUUACUUUGAGUAAAUUAGAGUGUUCAAAGCAAGCUUACGCUCUGAAUAUAAUAGCAUGGGAUAACACGACAGGACUCUGGCCUAUCGUGUUGGUCUAUAGGACCAGAGUAAUGAUUAAGAGGGACAGUCGGGGGCAUUCGUAUUCCGUUGUCAGAGGUGAAAUUCUUGGAUUUACGGAAGACGAACAUCUGCGAAAGCAUUUGCCAAGGAUGUUUUCAUUG